CUUCCAUCUCUGUGUCUUUGGUAUAAUCGUCCCCCUUGUGUUAAGGCUAAGCUGGAAAGUGAUGCAUCAGCAGAGAGCCAGGAGGAGGAUCAAAGGUGGAACAUGACAGGCCCCUCUCUCUUUCUUCAUCCAAAUGGCUACUGCUCUGAUUGUCCAUUAUUCGAUCAACUAUUAACCCCAGGGAACAAAAUCUAGAAUUUCCUAGGAAGGCAUUAUUAGCCUCUUUUCCUGCAGACAUUGUGGUGCAUCUUGGGAAGAGAAACUCAAAUUAG
This is a long non-coding RNA of Equus quagga, 272 nucleotides long. RefSeq lists it as uncharacterized. Lineage: Eukaryota; Metazoa; Chordata; Mammalia; Perissodactyla; Equidae. The record is from RefSeq and is a predicted model, not a curated record. The transcript has 3 exons.